CCCAAAACAAGUUCAGUCUCCUGGCCUCGCUGCUGCUGUUCAAAGCUGUUCCAGAUCCUUGCACUGGCAGUGAAUCUCUGUGUGUAAAAGACAGUCCUGUUAGCAGGCGCGAAGAACAGGACCUCACACUUCUCCGCUCCAGACUCAUCAUCCUUCUUAUUGAGAAACGAUACGAGGCAGCUGUAAAGACCCAGAGGUGCUUUAGCAGCACUGUGGUGAGCACUGAAGGUGGUGUGAGCAGUGCAUCAGCCAAGCACCCACCGCUAAGCUCUCCUGGUGGACUAAAUGCUGUAGCUUAAGCUAGCGGAGAGGUUCUCUGGCUGCACAGAAAAACGCAGACGCCUAAGCCAAGAAUGUAGAGGAGUUAUUAAAGUUUCUCUGCUUCUGAAGAGGUGAAGGUGGUAUGUGGGGGGGGAACUUAUAUGCUGCAAUAUAGUUUUAAACAACAUUUUGGUGACUGCUGCUGUUCAGAACAUGGAUGUCACAGCUUAAGGAGUCACCCCCAAACCAACCAGGUCCUGCUGUUAGGAGAUUCAUUUUGGAACAGAAUCAGAUGGGUCAAGUAGGGCUACAGAGGGUGGCAAGCCAGCUGGAGAAGAGAUGUUCAUGCGGAAGGGCUUUGCAGAUGCUAACGCUGCUGUCAACAUAGAUGCAUUUCCACAGGGCCAAGCAAGCGUACUACCCUCUUGGCUUCCAGCGUUAUGAAGACACUGAACAUGGGCUCAUGGCAGAUCAGCAGUGCAAAAACACUGACCCACAGAAAAAAUCAGGUGGGAAGGGACCUCCAGAAGUCUCUAGUCCAAUUCCCCACUCACAGCAGGGUAACUCCAAAGCUAGACCAGGUUGCUCAGGG
Aquila chrysaetos chrysaetos is the source of this 853-nucleotide long non-coding RNA. RefSeq lists it as uncharacterized. The transcript is spliced from 4 exons. The record is from RefSeq and is a predicted model, not a curated record. NCBI's taxonomy places the organism in Eukaryota, Metazoa, Chordata, Aves, Accipitriformes, Accipitridae.